AGCGAACGCUGGCGGCAGGCCUAACACACGCAAGUCGAACGAACUCUUCGGAGUUAGUGGCGGACGGGUGAGUAACACGUGGGAACGUGCCUUUUGGUUCGGAAUAACUCAGGGAAACUUGUGCUAAUACCGAAUGUGCCCUUCGGGGGAAAGAUUUAUCGCCAUUAGAGCGGCCCGCGUCUGAUUAGCUAGUUGGUGAGGUAACGGCUCACCAAGGCGACGAUCAGUAGCUGGUCUGAGAGGAUGACCAGCCACACUGGGACUGAGACACGGCCCAGACUCCUACGGGAGGCAGCAGUGGGGAAUCUUGCGCAAUGAGCGAAAGCCUGACGCAGCCAUGCCGCGUGAAUGAUGAAGGUCUUAGGAUUGUAAAAUUCUUUCACCGGGGACGAUAAUGACGGUACCCGGAGAAGAAGCCCCGGCUAACUUCGUG
RNAcentral lists this ribosomal RNA (433 nucleotides) under uncultured bacterium. Its description in RNAcentral is "partial 16S ribosomal RNA". It matches the Rfam family "Bacterial small subunit ribosomal RNA", at positions 29 to 507 of the family's 1533-position model. The record is from RNAcentral.